Molecule: transfer RNA, 72 nt
Filed under: Phrynosoma platyrhinos (Desert horned lizard)
Lineage: Eukaryota; Metazoa; Chordata; Lepidosauria; Squamata; Phrynosomatidae
Description: tRNA-OTHER
Source: RNAcentral
GCCAGCAUGGUGUAGUGGUUUGAGUGUUGCACUACAACUGUAGAGACCUGGGUUGGAUUCCCUGUUUGAGCA